GAUGAACGCUGGCGGCGUGCCUAAUACAUGCAAGUCGAGCGAACGGACGAGAAGCUUGCUUUUCUGAUGUUAGCGGCGGACGGGUGAGUAACACGUGGAUAACCUACCUAUAAGACUGGGAUAACUUCGGGAAACCGGAGCUAAUACCGGAUAAUAUUUUGAACCGCAUGGUUCAAAAGUGAAAGACGGUCUUGCUGUCACUUAUAGAUGGAUCCGCGCUGCAUUAGCUAGUUGGUAAGGUAACGGCUUACCAAGGCAACGAUGCAUAGCCGACCUGAGAGGGUGAUCGGCCACACUGGAACUGAGACACGGUCCAGACUCCUACGGGAGGCAGCAGUAGGGAAUCUUCCGCAAAGGGCGAAAGCCUGACGGAGCAACGCCGCGUGAGCGAUGAAGGUCUUCGGAUCGUAAAACUCUGUUAUUAGGGAAGAACAUAUGUGUAAGUAACUGUGCACAUCUUGACGGUACCUAAUCAGAAAGCCACGGCUAACUACGUG
This 497-nucleotide ribosomal RNA is filed under the name uncultured bacterium. Its description in RNAcentral is "partial 16S ribosomal RNA". It matches the Rfam family "Bacterial small subunit ribosomal RNA", at positions 28 to 507 of the family's 1533-position model. The record is from RNAcentral.